GGAAUACUGCAGUCGAGCGGACAGAUGGGAGCUUGCUCCCUGAUGUUAGCGGCGGACGGGUGAGUAACACGUGGGUAACCUGCCUGUAAGACUGGGAUAACUCCGGGAAACCGGGGCUAAUACCGGAUGGUUGUUUGAACCGCAUGGUUCAAACAUAAAAGGUGGCUUCGGCUACCACUUACAGAUGGACCCGCGGCGCAUUAGCUAGUUGGUGAGGUAACGGCUCACCAAGGCAACGAUGCGUAGCCGACCUGAGAGGGUGAUCGGCCACACUGGGACUGAGACACGGCCCCAGACUCCUACGGGAGGCAGCAGUAGGGAAUCUUCCGCAAUGGACGAAAGUCUGACGGAGCAACGCCGCGUGAGUGAUGAAGGUUUUCGGAUCGUAAAGCUCUGUUGUUAGGGAAGAACAAGUACCGUUCGAAUAGGGCGGUACCUUGACGGUACCUAACCAGAAAGCCACGGCUAACUACGUGCCAGCAGCCGCGGAAAAACGUAAAAUAAAAGCGUUGUCCGGAAUUAUUGGGCGUAAAGGGCUCGCAGGCGGUUUCUUAAGUCUGAUGUGAAAGCCCCCGGCUCAACCGGGGAGGGUCAUUGGAAACUGGGGGAACUUGAGUGCAGAAGAGGAGAGUGGAAUUCCACGUGUAGCGGUGAAAUGCGUAGAGAUGUGGAGGAACACCAGUGGCGAAGGCGACUCUCUGGUCUGUAACUGACGCUGAGGAGCGAAAGCGUGGGGAGCGAACAGGAUUAGAUACCCUGGUAGUCCACGCCGUAAACGAUGAGUGCUAAGUGUUAGGGGGUUUCCGCCCCUUAGUGCUGCAGCUAACGCAUUAAGCACUCCGCCUGGGAGUACGGUCGCAAGACUGAAACUCAAAGGAAUUGACGGGGGCCCGCACAAGCGGUGGAGCAUGUGGUUUAAUUCGAAGCAACGCGAAGAACCUUAC
This 944-nucleotide ribosomal RNA is filed under the name Bacillus subtilis. RNAcentral's name for it is "bacterial SSU rRNA". It matches the Rfam family "Bacterial small subunit ribosomal RNA", at positions 48 to 974 of the family's 1533-position model. Lineage: Bacteria; Bacillati; Bacillota; Bacilli; Caryophanales; Bacillaceae. The record is from RNAcentral.